This 456-nucleotide ribosomal RNA is filed under the name uncultured Pseudomonadota bacterium. RNAcentral describes it as "bacterial SSU rRNA". It matches the Rfam family "Bacterial small subunit ribosomal RNA", at positions 294 to 742 of the family's 1533-position model. The record is from RNAcentral. Lineage: Bacteria; Pseudomonadati; Pseudomonadota.
GAGAGGAUGACCAGCCACACUGGAACUGAGACACGGUCCAGACUCCUACGGGAGGCAGCAGUGGGGAAUAUUGCACAAUGGGCGCAAGCCUGAUGCAGCCAUGCCGCGUGUAUGAAGAAGGCCUUCGGGUUGUAAAGUACUUUCAGCGGGGAGGAAGGGAGUAAAGUUAAUACCUUUGCUCAUUGACGUUACCCGCAGAAGAAGCACCGGCUAACUCCGUGCCAGCAGCCGCGGUAAUACGGAGGGUGCAAGCGUUAAUCGGAAUUACUGGGCGUAAAGCGCACGCAGGCGGUUUGUUAAGUCAGAUGUGAAAUCCCCGGGCUCAACCUGGGAACUGCAUCUGAUACUGGCAAGCUUGAGUCUCGUAGAGGGGGGUAGAAUUCCAGGUGUAGCGGUGAAAUGCGUAGAGAUCUGGAGGAAUACCGGUGGCGAAGGCGGCCCCCUGGACGAAGACUG